GGCGGCGUGCCUAACACAUGCAAGUCGCACGAGAAAGGGGACUUCGGUCCUUGAGUAAAGUGGCGCACGGGUGAGUAACACGUGAAUUAUCUACCUCCGAGUGGGGAAUAACCUAGAGAAAUCUGGGCUAAUACCGCAUAACACUUACGAGUCAAAGCAGCAAUGCGCUUGGAGAGGAGUUCGCGGCAGAUUAGCUAGUUGGCGGGGUAAUGGCCCACCAAGGCGAUGAUCUGUAUCCGGCCUGAGAGGGCGCACGGACACACUGGAACUGAAACACGGUCCAGACUCCUACGGGAGGCAGCAGUGGGGAAUUUUGCGCAAUGGGGGAAACCCUGACGCAGCAACGCCGCGUGGAGGAUGAAAUAUCUUGGUAUGUNAACUCCUUUCGAUGGGGAAGAUUAUGACGGUACCCAUAGAAGAAGCCCCGGCUAACUUC
Molecule: ribosomal RNA, 436 nt
Filed under: uncultured Acidobacteriota bacterium
Lineage: Bacteria; Pseudomonadati; Acidobacteriota
Description: bacterial SSU rRNA
Rfam family: Bacterial small subunit ribosomal RNA
Source: RNAcentral